Non-coding RNA from Pelobates cultripes (western spadefoot toad), 324 nucleotides. Lineage: Eukaryota; Metazoa; Chordata; Amphibia; Anura; Pelobatidae. The record is from the annotation of a GenBank genome assembly.
CAAAUAUAAACAUUGGUAUGGCAAAGGUAACAAAAGCACAGUUUUCAUUUUAAAAGAUACAGUGGUAGUUUCAUUGUGUGUGCCAGUCAUGUCUAGAUGCAGAUUAAGUUAGAGGGAGUGCCAUAGCUGGGAUGAGAAAUAGACAUGUAAAUUGUGGUAUUAAAUCAAGGAGUCAUGUAAGGAAAGCUUGUGUAAUGUGUUUGAUAUAAGGUACACAGUAGACAGUAAUAGUUCAGCUAAUAGGUCCCUUGCCAGAAAUGAAAGGUACAACAUAGGGUUUAGGUACUCAGUAGGGUAUAUUAGUCCCCAGCAGGGAGUCACCAC